This 83-nucleotide transfer RNA is filed under the name Sulfuracidifex metallicus DSM 6482 = JCM 9184. RNAcentral describes it as "tRNA-Cys". It matches the Rfam family "tRNA". Rfam says of the family: Transfer RNA (tRNA) molecules are approximately 80 nucleotides in length. Their secondary structure includes four short double-helical elements and three loops (D, anti-codon, and T loops). Lineage: Archaea; Thermoproteati; Thermoproteota; Thermoprotei; Sulfolobales; Sulfolobaceae. The record is from RNAcentral.
GCCGGGGUAGCCAAGCGGUAAGGCGGCGGGCCGCAGUGGGUGUGGUCACCCGUUUAUCGGGGGUUCAAAUCCCUCCCCCGGCU